UUAAGCGACUAAGCGUACACGGUGGAUGCCCUGGCAGUCAGAGGCGAUGAAGGACGUGCUAAUCUGCGAUAAGCGUCGGUAAGGUGAUAUGAACCGUUAUAACCGGCGAUUUCCGAAUGGGGAAACCCAGUGUGAUUCGUCACACUAUCAUUAACUGAAUCCAUAGGUUAAUGAGGCGAACCGGGGGAACUGAAACAUCUAAGUACCCCGAGGAAAAGAAAUCAACCGAGAUUCCCCCAGUAGCGGCGAGCGAACGGGGAGCAGCCCAGAGCCUGAAUCAGUGUGUGUGUUAGUGGAAGCGUCUGGAAAGGCGCGCGAUACAGGGUGACAGCCCCGUACACAAAAAUGCACAUGCUGUGAGCUCGAUGAGUAGGGCGGGACACGUGGUAUCCUGUCUGAAUAUGGGGGGACCAUCCUCCAAGGCUAAAUACUCCUGACUGACCGAUAGUGAACCAGUACCGUGAGGGAAAGGCGAAAAGAACCCCGGCGAGGGGAGUGAAAAAGAACCUGAAACCGUGUACGUACAAGCAGUGGGAGCACAGAGCAAUCUGUGUGACUGCGUACCUUUUGUAUAAUGGGUCAGCGACUUAUAUUCUGUAGCAAGGUUAACCGAAUAGGGGAGCCGAAGGGAAACCGAGUCUUAACUGGGCGUUAAGUUGCAGGGUAUAGACCCGAAACCCGGUGAUCUAGCCAUGGGCAGGUUGAAGGUUGGGUAACACUAACUGGAGGACCGAACCGACUAAUGUUGAAAAAUUAGCGGAUGACUUGUGGCUGGGGGUGAAAGGCCAAUCAAACCGGGAGAUAGCUGGUUCUCCCCGAAAGCUAUUUAGGUAGCGCCUCGUGAAUUCAUCUCCGGGGGUAGAGCACUGUUUCGGCAAGGGGGUCAUCCCGACUUACCAACCCGAUGCAAACUGCGAAUACCGGAGAAUGUUAUCACGGGAGACACACGGCGGGUGCUAACGUCCGUCGUGAAGAGGGAAACAACCCAGACCGCCAGCUAAGGUCCCAAAGUCAUGGUUAAGUGGGAAACGAUGUGGGAAGGCCCAGACAGCCAGGAUGUUGGCUUAGAAGCAGCCAUCAUUUAAAGAAAGCGUAAUAGCUCACUGGUCGAGUCGGCCUGCGCGGAAGAUGUAACGGGGCUAAACCAUGCACCGAAGCUGCGGCAGCGACGCUUAUGCGUUGUUGGGUAGGGGAGCGUUCUGUAAGCCUGCGAAGGUGUGCUGUGAGGCAUGCUGGAGGUAUCAGAAGUGCGAAUGCUGACAUAAGUAACGAUAAAGCGGGUGAAAAGCCCGCUCGCCGGAAGACCAAGGGUUCCUGUCCAACGUUAAUCGGGGCAGGGUGAGUCGACCCCUAAGGCGAGGCCGAAAGGCGUAGUCGAUGGGAAACAGGUUAAUAUUCCUGUACUUGGUGUUACUGCGAAGGGGGGACGGAGAAGGCUAUGUUGGCCGGGCGACGGUUGUCCCGGUUUAAGCGUGUAGGCUGGUUUUCCAGGCAAAUCCGGAAAAUCAAGGCUGAGGCGUGAUGACGAGGCACUACGGUGCUGAAGCAACAAAUGCCCUGCUUCCAGGAAAAGCCUCUAAGCAUCAGGUAACAUCAAAUCGUACCCCAAACCGACACAGGUGGUCAGGUAGAGAAUACCAAGGCGCUUGAGAGAACUCGGGUGAAGGAACUAGGCAAAAUGGUGCCGUAACUUCGGGAGAAGGCACGCUGAUAUGUAGGUGAAGUCCCUCGCGGAUGGAGCUGAAAUCAGUCGAAGAUACCAGCUGGCUGCAACUGUUAUUAAAAACACAGCACUGUGCAAACACGAAAGUGGACGUAUACGGUGUGACGCCUGCCCGGUGCCGGAAGGUUAAUUGAUGGGGUCAGCGCAAGCGAAGCUCUUGAUCGAAGCCCCGGUAAACGGCGGCCGUAACUAUAACGGUCCUAAGGUAGCGAAAUUCCUUGUCGGGUAAGUUCCGACCUGCACGAAUGGCGUAAUGAUGGCCAGGCUGUCUCCACCCGAGACUCAGUGAAAUUGAACUCGCUGUGAAGAUGCAGUGUACCCGCGGCAAGACGGAAAGACCCCGUGAACCUUUACUAUAGCUUGACACUGAACAUUGAGCCUUGAUGUGUAGGAUAGGUGGGAGGCUUUGAAGUGUGGACGCCAGUCUGCAUGGAGCCGGCCUUGAAAUACCACCCUUUAAUGUUUGAUGUUCUAACGUUGACCCGUAAUCCGGGUUGCGGACAGUGUCUGGUGGGUAGUUUGACUGGGCGGUCUCCUCCUAAAGAGUAACGGAGGAGCACGAAGGUUGGCUAAUCCUGGUCGGACAUCAGGAGGUUAGUGCAAUGGCAUAAGCCAGCUUGACUGCGAGCGUGACGGCGCGAGCAGGUGCGAAAGCAGGUCAUAGUGAUCCGGUGGUUCUGAAUGGAAGGGCCAUCGCUCAACGGAUAAAAGGUACUCCGGGGAUAACAGGCUGAUACCGCCCAAGAGUUCAUAUCGACGGCGGUGUUUGGCACCUCGAUGUCGGCUCAUCACAUCCUGGGGCUGAAGUAGGUCCCAAGGGUAUGGCUGUUCGCCAUUUAAAGUGGUACGCGAGCUGGGUUUAGAACGUCGUGAGACAGUUCGGUCCCUAUCUGCCGUGGGCGCUGGAGAACUGAGGGGGGCUGCUCCUAGUACGAGAGGACCGGAGUGGACGCAUCACUGGUGUUCGGGUUGUCAUGCCAAUGGCACUGCCCGGUAGCUAAAUGCGGAAGAGAUAAGUGCUGAAAGCAUCUAAGCACGAAACUUGCCCCGAGAUGAGUUCUCCCUGACUCCUUGAGAGUCCUGAAGGAACGUUGAAGACGACGACGUUGAUAGGCCGGGUGUGUAAGCGCAGCGAUGCGUUGAGCUAACCGGUACUAAUGAACCGUGAGGCUUAACCUU
RNAcentral lists this ribosomal RNA (2902 nucleotides) under Escherichia coli DEC11D. Its description in RNAcentral is "bacterial LSU rRNA". It matches the Rfam family "Bacterial large subunit ribosomal RNA". The record is from RNAcentral. Lineage: Bacteria; Pseudomonadati; Pseudomonadota; Gammaproteobacteria; Enterobacterales; Enterobacteriaceae.